Long non-coding RNA from Oxyura jamaicensis (ruddy duck), 843 nucleotides. RefSeq lists it as uncharacterized. The transcript is spliced from 2 exons. The record is from RefSeq and is a predicted model, not a curated record. NCBI's taxonomy places the organism in Eukaryota, Metazoa, Chordata, Aves, Anseriformes, Anatidae.
CUCAGAGCCUGGAACGAAAGAAAAACACCGUAAGUUAAAAGAUGAAGCACUUCUCAGGAGCAACAAGUGGAAAACAACACCAAAAGCUGCUCGAUGAAGCUCUCCUCAGGGAAAACGCGGUGAAGAGAACCCCAAAAGCUGGAUGGGGCAGAACUCCUCAGGGCCGUACUGAAGACAACACCAAAAGCUGCAUGAUGAUGCAUUCCUCCGGAGUCCCGAAGUGAAGAGAACCCCCAAAGCUGCACGAUGAAGAACUCCUCUGGAACCACAAGGCGAAGAAAACGCAAAAAGCUCCAUGAAGAAUUACUCCUCAAGUGCCACAGUGAAGAAAACGCAAAAAGCUGAAUGAUGAAGCACUCCUCAGGGGAAACGUGGUGUGGAGAACCCAAAGAGCUGCACGCUGAAGACAUCCUCAGGGAAACGUUGGAAACGCAGUGAAGGAAACACAAAAAGCUGGUGGCAGAUGCACUCCUCAAGUUGCAGUGAAGAAAACACCAAAAGCUGCUCAAGAAGGCAUUCCUCAGAGGCUGCAGUGGAGAAACACCAAAAGCUGGACCAUGAAGCUCUCCUCAGGGGAAACGUGCUGAAGAGAUCCCGAAAAGCUGCAUGAUGAAGAAUUCCUCGUAGGGCGCGACGAAGGAAACCGCAGAAACUGCACGCAGAGGCACUCCUCAGGGGCUGGCAUGAGAAAAAAGAACACCAAAUGUUAGAAGAUGAAGCACUUCUCAGGGGCAACAAGGUGAAAACGAGACCAAAAGCUGCACAAUGAAACUCUCCUUAGGGAAAACGUGGUGAAGAGAACCCCAAAAGCUGGACGCAGAAGCACUCCUCCAGUCGCAGUGA